CAUGCAAGUCGAGGGGAAACGACAUCGAAAGCUUGCUUUUGAUGGGCGUCGACCGGCGCACGGGUGAGUAACGCGUAUCCAACCUGCCCACCACUUGGGGAUAACCUUGCGAAAGUAAGACUAAUACCCAAUGACGUCUCUAGAAGACAUCUGAAAGAGAUUAAAGAUUUAUCGGUGAUGGAUGGGGAUGCGUCUGAUCAGCUUGUUGGCGGGGUAACGGCCCACCAAGGCGACGAUCAGUAGGGGUUCUGAGAGGAAGGUCCCCCACAUUGGAACUGAGACACGGUCCAAACUCCUACGGGAGGCAGCAGUGAGGAAUAUUGGUCAAUGGACGAGAGUCUGAACCAGCCAAGUAGCGUGCAGGAAGACGGCCCUAUGGGUUGUAAACUGCUUUUAUAAGGGAAUAAAGUGAGAGUCGUGACUCUUUUUGCAUGUACCUUAUGAAUAAGGACCGGCUAAUUCCGUGCCAGCAGCCGCGGUAAUACGGAAGGUCCGGGCGUUAUCCGGAUUUAUUGGGUUUAAAGGGAGCGUAGGCCGGAGAUUAAGCGUGUUGUGAAAUGUAGAUGCUCAACAUCUGAACUGCAGCGCGAACUGGUUUCCUUGAGUACGCACAAAGUGGGCGGAAUUCGUGGUGUAGCGGUGAAAUGCUUAGAUAUCACGAAGAACUCCGAUUGCGAAGGCAGCUCACUGGAGCGCAACUGACGCUGAAGCUCGAAAGUGCGGGUAUCGAACAGGAUUAGAUACCCUGGUAGUCCGCACGGUAAACGAUGGAUGCCCGCUGUUGGUCUGAAUAGGUCAGCGGCCAAGCGAAAGCAUUAAGCAUCCCACCUGGGGAGUACGCCGGCAACGGUGAAACUCAAAGGAAUUGACGGGGGCCCGCACAAGCGGAGGAACAUGUGGUUUAAUUCGAUGAUACGCGAGGAACCUUACCCGGGCUUG
This 939-nucleotide ribosomal RNA is filed under the name uncultured bacterium. Its description in RNAcentral is "bacterial SSU rRNA". It matches the Rfam family "Bacterial small subunit ribosomal RNA", at positions 54 to 983 of the family's 1533-position model. The record is from RNAcentral.